AAGCGCUUAUGACCAGACUUGGGCUUGGUUGAUCAUCCGGCGUUCUCGCCGGUGCACUCUUCCGGUUCAGGCCAGCAUCAGUUUGCUUCGGGGGAUAAAGGCUUUGGGAAUGUGGCUCCCUCGGGAGUGUUAUAGCCCAUUGUGUAAUACCCUGGAGCGGACUGAGGUACGCGUUCUGCAAGGAUGCUGGCGUAAUGGUCAUCAGUGA
This 208-nucleotide ribosomal RNA is filed under the name Volutella consors. RNAcentral describes it as "partial large subunit ribosomal RNA". The record is from RNAcentral. Lineage: Eukaryota; Fungi; Ascomycota; Sordariomycetes; Hypocreales; Nectriaceae.